Molecule: long non-coding RNA, 2240 nt
Filed under: Homo sapiens (human)
Lineage: Eukaryota; Metazoa; Chordata; Mammalia; Primates; Hominidae
Description: HSALNT0270181
Source: RNAcentral
GGCUGCGAGCGCUAGAGGCCGGGGCGCGGGCGGUCGGCCGGGGUGCGGCAGCAGCGGCGGGAAGCGCGGGGGCUGGAGCUCAGGGGCGCGGGCGCCGGGGCGGUGGCGGACGGGGAGGGGGCCGCCGGGCGGGGCGCGGGAUGCGGGAACGGUGCGCUGGGCCGGGCCGAGGCGGGCGCGGGGCGGCGACGGGGCCUCGCUCUUUGUCUCGGCUCGCUCCAAAAUGGCUGCGGCGGCGCUGACGGGAGCGCCGGGCGGGCGCCGUGCGCGGUGGCAGCGGCGGCGCAGGGCCCGUCCGAGGCCCGGGGAACAGCGCGCGGGGAUGCCGGGGCGCCGCCGGGCGGCGCGCAGGCCCUGGAGUGGAUGGGCCUGGGAGGCGGGCGGGAACGGGGAGGGGACUGUCGCAGCGCGCCCUGGGGACGGGGACCGGCGCCCGGCCCCUCCAAGCCGCCGCGGGGAAGCUGGGUCCGCCUCUGGCUCAGCCGGUCCCGGGCGGUGGGGAGGGGUCCUGCGCGCACGGCUCUUCUCGCCCUCCAAUCGUGACCACCCCUGGCCCUUCCCUCCAUUUUUAAUCAAUAAACCCAGCCGCCCCGGGCUGACUGUCCCCGCACCCAGCUGCCUUGGAGACAGGAGUGUCGUAUAAGCCCGUAGAGCCCAGAAUAGGUUUCAGAGAGACGCUUCCUUGCCUCGGACCUCACUGGGGCCAAGAGGCCACAGGGUCAGUCUUCGCAGCUGAAGACAGCGCCGCAAUAAGCAGAGACCUCGGGACGAUGAAUGACGUUGCUGACAAAGAAAAUGAUUUUUUUAAUUGCUUUAACAAAGGAGACUGCUAGUCUCGAAAGCAGACCCGAACUGGACCCUUGUGCCUGUUCGAACUGUAGCCUUGCAAAGGAAUGGACUUACUGAUAACUGGAAUACGGGACUUCACCCCAGGCUUGUUUCUCGACAGCAGCAGCAGCCAAUGAGCAUUGAGGACGGAGCCUAGGAGAGGUGCCUCCCCUAUAGGGGAACAGUGUUUGGGGGAAAUCACUGCAAACGUACAGCUGGAGUUUUGUACCUGAACUUUGGCUCCCAGAAGGCAGGAAAGGAAAUGAAUGAAGCAAGCUGAGUAUGGCGGGGAGGGCCCCUGUGGGUACACCUACGGAGCACCUUGAGCUCAGUAGGGGGACAGUCUGAGUUUUCCAGAAAGAACAGAAAUAUAAAGUGAUGAUUAAAUCUCGGGAUUUUUAAUUUUUGAGUGUUGACAACUAAUUAGAACAUUUUUAAAGCAGGUCAAAGCACAGGCAGGCUAACUGGCCCCACGCACAACUUGCAAGGUGGGGCGCACCAGGCUCACUGCACAGCCCAUACCCACAGACCCCUCAGAUUGGAGUCGGGGCAGAAGCAGAACGCAGGACUCGCAGGAAACAGACCAGGUUCCAAGGCCCCCAGGGUCCCAAAGGCUGGGGUAACUGAAGGUUCCCACGCUCAGGCCUCCACUCUUCAAGUCCGCUGCUACUCCACUGAGAUCUGUAAUGAGUCUCCUGCCAUCUACGCACAGUGGUGACUCCUCUUCUCCAAGGCCCCGCCAGGAGUCUUUCAUUCCAACGUGUUCGCAGGAUCUUCUGGGGAACCGUCCAGCCUGGCAGCUGCAGGAACUGCGAGAAGUUAAGGGUCUGUGCCCACCUAUUCCAGCUUCCCUUGCAAGGAGGGUGUUGGGCACCAGAAGGCCCUGGGGAAAGUGGGAGCCGCAGACAGCCAGGCAGCUCUUCUAUGUCUGGGGUUUGCAGGAGCACUGCCUUCCGGGGGGGGGGGGAGGGGAGGCGGGUGAGGACAGCACGUGACUUCCCCUCCUAAUGUUCAUGUGGUGGGGAGUCACCCUGGGGGCCUCCCGCCAAAUUUUAGUAUCUCUGUGAUUUUAGUUGUUGCCCCAAGCAGUUAGGACUUGUGUAGUUUGAAAGAAAAAUCUCACCCAGCAUAAAAAGAGAAAAGGGGGAAUUGUAACAAAUGUUAAUCAUAAGCACUGUUUCAACCCGGAAAAAUGUUUGCUGCCAGGCUGUGGGCAAAGAGGUGGCCUCGGCGGCUGGCAGCUCAGUGGGCCUUCCAAGUUUACUAAGCAGGGUCUUGUAUUUUUAAAUAAAAUAGAGCAUCAGACACGCUCACUUAAAUAUAAAAAAUAAUAAAAACAAGUUUUGAAUUAAGUUUAAGACACAUUAAGAAUAAAACAAAUCUAAGAAUAAAGGGAAUCAGUGAUUUCCAAG